GACGAACGCUGGCGGCGUGCUUAACACAUGCAAGUCGAACGGAAAGGCCCCUUUGGGGGUACUCGAGUGGCGAACGGGUGAGUAACACGUGAGUAACCUGCCCUUGACUUCGGGAUAACUUCAGGAAACUGGGGCUAAUACCGGAUAGGAAUCCUUGCUGCAUGGUGGGGGUUGGAAAGCUUCGGCGGUUUUGGAUGGACUCGCGGCUUAUCAGCUUGUUGGUGGGGUAGUGGCUUACCAAGGCUUUGACGGGUAGCCGGCCUGAGAGGGCGACCGGCCACAUUGGGACUGAGAUAAGGCCCAGACGCCUACGGGAGGCAGCAGUGGGGAAGAUUGAACAAUGGGCGGAAGCCGGAUGCAGCAACGCCGCGGGCGGGAUGACGGCCUUCGGGUUGUAAAACGCUUUCAGCAGGGGAGAAGCUUGUGGUGACGGUACCUGCAGAAGAAGCACCGGCUAACUACGUG
This 465-nucleotide ribosomal RNA is filed under the name uncultured bacterium. Its description in RNAcentral is "partial 16S ribosomal RNA". It matches the Rfam family "Bacterial small subunit ribosomal RNA", at positions 28 to 507 of the family's 1533-position model. The record is from RNAcentral.